Molecule: long non-coding RNA, 754 nt
Organism: Cebus imitator (Panamanian white-faced capuchin)
Lineage: Eukaryota; Metazoa; Chordata; Mammalia; Primates; Cebidae
Exons: 2
Source: RefSeq, a predicted model, not a curated record
UGCUCAGCCGGCCGGAGGUCUGCAUGUUUUUUGGGCCUGUGGGGGAUGUCCUCUGUGGAACUGCCCAGAGAAAGAGUCAGGACCCAGACAAAGCCUUGUUUCUAGAGACUCAUCUUUUGAGGACUUAGGACUGUUGGGCCUUUGGAAUGGGGUAAGGUGUGAUCAGCUUGGCAACUCCUGCUCCUGGCCGGCCAGUGGGCAGGGGGCAAGAAGGGGCUGUGGUGCUGGCACCAGGCUCUUGGCCUGGAAGCACCUGGACGGAGAAACCAAGCCACCUUGCUGCCCCAUCAUCCUGAGGCAAACAAGUUAGCUCAUCCUACAAAACAAGGUGCCUUCAGCCUCAUACCGCCAGCUGCCACCAUGGCUGGUGCUGGUGGCUCUUCUCUUAGAGCAAUUUUUGGAGCUCUCUCACCCACUACUUUCACUCCCCCGGUCUAAGUGGCCAGCAGGCGGCGUCAUCUGAACUCCGUGAUAACAGUCUCCUCCAGGCUGGCAGGGCCGGGCCGUGGCCCAGGGGGCACUCCUGGCUGUGGAGGACUGCCGGCCCGGCCCCCCACACUCCCUCCCCCGGCUCGGGCACGUUACCUGCUGUGCCAAUGAGUUUCUUGGAUUUGUUGAAGAUCUGAUCACCUGGGUUAGGAGGUGGCGCUACGUCCUGGCCCUGCCGCGCCAGCAGAGGGUUGUAAUCCUUUCCAUCAUAGUUUGCGUCAAAGAAUUUCUUAAACCACUGAAUAAACUCAAAAUUAUCUUGGAA